RNAcentral lists this ribosomal RNA (857 nucleotides) under uncultured bacterium. RNAcentral's name for it is "SSU rRNA". It matches the Rfam family "Bacterial small subunit ribosomal RNA", at positions 524 to 1381 of the family's 1533-position model. The record is from RNAcentral.
UACGGGAGUGGCAAGCGUUAUCCGGAAUUAUUGGGCGUAAAGCGUCCGCAGGCGGUCUUGAAAGUCUGUUGUUAAAGCGUGGAGCUCAACUCCAUUUAAGCAAUGGAAACUAGAAGACUAGAGUGUGGUAGGGGCAGAGGGAAUUCCCGGUGUAGCGGUGAAAUGCGUAGAUAUCGGGAAGAACACCAGUGGCGAAGGCGCUCUGCUGGGCCAUAACUGACGCUCAUGGACGAAAGCCAGGGGAGCGAAAGGGAUUAGAUACCCCUGUAGUCCUGGCCGUAAACGAUGAACACUAGGUGUCGGGGGAAUCGACCCCCUCGGUGUCGUAGCCAACGCGUUAAGUGUUCCGCCUGGGGAGUACGCACGCAAGUGUGAAACUCAAAGGAAUUGACGGGGGCCCGCACAAGCGGUGGAGUAUGUGGUUUAAUUCGAUGCAACGCGAAGAACCUUACCAGGGUUUGACAUCCUGCGAAUCCCUUGGAAACUUGGGAGUGCCUUCGGGAGCGCAGUGACAGGUGGUGCAUGGCUGUCGUCAGCUCGUGUCGUGAGAUGUUGGGUUAAGUCCCGCAACGAGCGCAACCCACGUCUUUAGUUGCCAGCAUUGAGUUGGGCACUCUAGAGAGACUGCCGGUGAUAAACCGGGGGAAGGUGUGGAUGACGUCAAGUCAUCAUGCCCCUUACAUCCUGGGCUACACACGUACUACAAUGCUACGGACAAAGGGCAGCAAACUCGCGAGAGCUAGCAAAUCCCAUAAACCGUGGCUCAGUUCAGAUCGUAGGCUGCAACUCGCCUACGUGAAGGAGGAAUCGCUAGUAAUCGCAGGUCAGCAUACUGCGGUGAAUACGUUCCCGGGCCU